AAUGCGAUAAGUAAUGUGAAUUGCAGAAUUCAGUGAAUCAUCGAAUCUUUGAACGCACCUUGCGCUCCUUGGUAUUCCUUGGAGCAUGCCUGUUUGAAUAUCAUGAAAUCUUCAAAGUAAAUCUUUUGUUAACUCAAUUGGUUUCUACUUUGGUAUUGGAGGUCUUUGCAGCUUCACACCUGCUCCUCUUUGUUCAUUAGCUGGAUCUCAGUGUUAUGCUUGGUUCCACUCGGCGUGAUAAGUUAUCUAUCGCUGAGGACACUGUAAAAGGUGGCCAAGGUAAAUGCAGAUGAACCGCUUCUAAUAGUCCAUUGACUUGGACAAUACUUUUAUGAUCUGAUCUCAAAUCAGGUAGGACUACCCGCUGAACUUAAGC
Molecule: unclassified non-coding RNA, 376 nt
Filed under: plant metagenome
Description: partial contains 5.8S ribosomal RNA, internal transcribed spacer 2, and large subunit ribosomal RNA
Rfam family: 5.8S ribosomal RNA (bases 1-103)
Source: RNAcentral